GAUUCUCAAUAGAAGGAGAAAGUUAUUUGGAAAUUGGACAAAAAAAAAAAAAAAACUUGUGUCUUCUCCCCAAAUAAUGAUAAAAAAGCUUUAGCCAUCUGAGUGGGUAAACUUAUUCCAUCUGCUCAAAACAUAAUUUGGACCCAACUGUUCUUUUACAAACCAGUGAGUUUGGUAUUGUACUUGAUUCAUGGCUAAAAUUUUAUAACAAUAGCUAUAAGGUCUCUCUUUGUGUCUAUAUGUUUAUGUAUAUAUGUAUGUAUGUAUGUUGUAGAUGUGAGAUAUUUUUUUUCUAUCUCCAAAUGGUAUUGCCAAAAGUAAUUUGUAAAACAACUCUACUUAAUUGGCUUUAAAAAAAAGCUUAUAAGAAUUAAGUAUUUCUAAACUCUCAGAAAUGUAGACACUAACCCAAAUGUUUCCCAAUCCUGCAUGAUCUGGGAACAUACUCAGUAAAUAAAAGCUAGUUAAGUCUUAGAGUAGGCAUGUUUGUUCAGAGUUCUCAGCAUUGGCUAUAAUACAGACAUACAACUUUUAUUGUACUUAGGUUUAUUAGUCAAAUAAGUUCAUGUUAUCUCUGUUCCAAAAUUUGUCAGCAAGAAAAAUAAUUUAGGAUUAUGUCUAACUUUGUUCAAUGUCUCAUGAAAAUUUCAGGAGUAAUCUGAUUGUUAAAAACAAGUGAAUUAAAUAAAUGUAAUUGGAAUAAAAGUUUGUAAAUGAACUUUUCCACAAUGAUGAGGUUUUAUAAUAUACGUCUUCCUUGAAAUGGCUUCCACAAUCUUUUUGGUAACUUGAAACCUUAAAAUGUUGUUAAGUUAGACAAUGGAAAUUCACUAUGUAUAUCAUGUCCAAAUAGAUGAAACCCUGAAUAGGUCUGUCUGCUUUUGGCUUCUUGUUACAGAGAAACUAAACAUAUUUGGGCCUGUUAGUAAACAUCUUGUGCUACAUUGAAAAAUUAUAAAGAAGCAUAUGCUUCUAGAAAUUAUGAAAUCUUUAAAUAUGCCAAUCAAUAGCAUAUUGGCAUGUAACAGCUCAUAAUUGCUUACUUCUUGGUUUUCACUACAAAUUAAGGUUUCAAAGGUUGGGAAUUCUAGUUAACAUAUGGAAUUAAAACUACUAGAAAUAGGGAAACAUCUCUGUAUGCAAUGAAAGUAAGAUAUAUUUUUGGUUAAGAAAAGGUACAGGUACAGAGAUGCUUUUUUGUUAAAGAGAAUAAUUUUGUCCUAAAGUAGACUUGGUUGUUUCAGAAUGGGAAAGAAAAUAAGGACAAAUUAAUUGGAUGCAGAAAGUUGGGAAUUGAGAGACAGCGAGAAUCUUGUAUAAUUAAGCUGGCUAAAAUACAAUGAGUUUAUUUUAAGUGUUUAAGGAUAAGUGUUAAUAUCAAUGGUGGAUGUAUAUAAAACUAAAAAUAUAUUUUCAUCUAUUAGAGGACAACAUUUUCUUGGACUUUUGGUCUCUACCUGAUAAAGGAUUGUGAAAGGCUUUCUUUUUACCUUUUAAGUAACCUGCCUAGAAAGCAAAAGAGUUUAUGGUUUACUAAAAUAAUGUCCUAAGAAAACUCGCCUUCAAAAUCCUUUAUUGUCACUUUGGUUAAAUAGGCAAUUAAGUAUUGUUUCAUAAUGAUCUGUGAUCCUAUUUAGUCAAGUGUUCAAAAUUGUUGAUACUUUUGACAGACUUCCAAAAAUCAAAUUCUAAAUGAAGACUUUGACCUUGACUAAUUUGGGAUAUUUCAGGAGGCCUGUGGAAUAUCUCAAAAUUUGUUCUCUCAUCUUGUAAAAAAAAAUAAUAAAUUAAUUAGGCUUUUGUUAAAUUACAUGGGAAGCAUUGGUAAAUAGGAAAUGAGACUAAGCUUUGUUAGAUUUGUAUGGACAAAUGCUUUAAGGGUUCUGGAAUUUUUGUGAAUUUCCUAGAAAUCUGAUAUGCCUUGGCAUAAUGUUAUAACCUAUAAUUCUAGUUAUUAUUUUUAAAUAUGUUAUAGAGAUAACCGUAUCUCCUUUUCAAUUGCAUUAUAUGAACUAAUCAGAUCUUUAGCCGUGGCCAUUUGUAAGUGUCAUUUACAGAUGUUAUGGUUUCGCUUUUGCAAAAGUGCUUUCAUUUUCAAGGAGAAUCAUGGAGAGGACUCCAACUAGUACAGGUUUCUGGUAACGUUUAUAUCAUACCAUUGAAUUGGGUAAGAAUUUAUAGAAAUCUAAGUAAAAACUGGAUUCUAAAACUGCUAACAAGAAGAGUAAGAUCAACAAUAAUUUAUUUCCUGUGAUUGAAUGAACUGAUGAAGAUAACAUUUAUGACUGUUUGAAACAUUGCUUAUUUUUUUAAUGCUUUGUUUUUCCAGAUUUAAGGAAACCUUUUUGAUGCCUCUUAAGCUGUCUAUGACUUACAGCAAUUUGGUAGGAUAUACCUUUGUGGGCAAGGUGAAACAAUUAUUUUUUCUCCCUACUUGAUCCUUCCAGAAUUUGGAAACUCUAGUAUUCUUACUUUCAUGUCGAUUUGCAUAAGUUCAAUAAGAACCUGUUCUUGUAACAGGAUACAAUUGUAUAUUAUAUUACCAAGCCUUUGACUAGAAUGUUGUAUUUGAGAACGUCCAUAGAAUCAGGUAUGAUCAGUUUUAAGCGACUUAGAUUGACUUUAUGGAGGUUCUGGAAUCCUUGCUUACAGGAUUCCUCACAGCCUUACCGGGAAGUUUAUUUCCUGGCAGGUAAGAACCUCAGGAUAUUUAGGGGAGCUUGAGAAGAGAGGAAUUAACCCAAAUGUAUAGGUUUUGCACCUUGGCUUCCUAGCCUUUGGAAGCUUUUAAAAAGUCCACCCUGAGAAUUCUUAUGAGAAGUUCCAGCCAAACAGAUACAGGAGUCUGUAUGGCCAACCGCUAUUCUUGUUGCCCUUAUGUAAAAAAUUCCGGCCAAGAUUGUUGAGGCUAGAUUUAUUUUGCAAACAUAACAGGGUUUUACUAUAAUUACCUUUGGUAAAAAUGGAGUUGAUUGUAGAGAAAAAUGAUGCUUCAGUAGAAACUGUAAUAUACUCUUGUGGAUAUCAGAUUGUACUCAUGUUAAUUGUCUGAGGUUUCAUUAUUUACCUGUAAACUGGACUAGUUCUGAAUACUUUGUUUCUUCAUAUCUGGUUACUACUUGUCCAACUAAUGUUUCCAAUUUUCUUCUACUCUUUUGACUUGGAAUCACUAAGAACAAAUCAAAAUUCCUAGAAAUCUGAUAUAUCCUGGUAUAAUAUCACUUGUAAGUCUAGUUAUUUUCUUAAAAUGUAUGUAACAGAAAUAACUACAUUUCCUGGACAAUUACAUUGUAAUGAACUCAAGUCUUUUGUCAUUUGCAAAAGUAUUUCCCAAAGCACUGCAAGCAUUCAUGUUUAGACAGUCUUCAUGCCUGUUGUUAUAUAGGCCACUCAGAAAGUUGACCUAAACACCAAUGACAUCAAACUGCAAAAGAUGCUUUAACCCAACCCAGCAUCUAGAAAUCUUCUGACUGGCUGUCUCCACAGGACUCAGACUAAGCCUAACUUCGGGAGCCUGCCUGCAGUACCACCUCCUGAAGGAGAUACAACUGUUUGAACUGACCUGUUUGUUAUUCUCAAGACUAAGAGACUUGUUCAGUGAAAUAAUAGUGGACUCUCUUAAUGGAAAAGGUACCCAACUUAAAUCUGCAGGACAACCUUACCCUUAUUUACUGUGCUUUUCCUGGUAAUUGCCUGUAAAUGACAAAGGCCUGGGCUGUUUCAAGGGGCUACUCAUACACAUUAAUAAACUUGUGUUUGUUUU
Molecule: non-coding RNA, 3763 nt
Organism: Manis javanica (Malayan pangolin)
Lineage: Eukaryota; Metazoa; Chordata; Mammalia; Pholidota; Manidae
Source: RefSeq, a predicted model, not a curated record